UUGGACUCUGAAGUCUGGACCGCAUUAUCAACCUUAACAUAGAAAAUUUAAGGAAAAACUAAUUGUAAAGUGUACAAGAAUACAAAACCCCAUUUUUUUUUAAUAGAAAAAGCUUUUAA
This 119-nucleotide non-coding RNA is filed under the name Chloropicon mariensis. The record is from RNAcentral. Lineage: Eukaryota; Viridiplantae; Chlorophyta; Chloropicophyceae; Chloropicales; Chloropicaceae.